Molecule: long non-coding RNA, 410 nt
Filed under: Dendronephthya gigantea
Lineage: Eukaryota; Metazoa; Cnidaria; Anthozoa; Malacalcyonacea; Nephtheidae
Description: uncharacterized LOC114535218
Source: RNAcentral
CUGAAUCUUCCUUGGCCACCAUUGGCAUCUGAUUUGACAAUAGAUAAUGUGCAAAAAGUGGUUCCAUGUGAACUUUUUAAUGUAUUGGCUUGGACUUGUGGAUUCUCUUCAGAGCCAACUUUAAGCUUUGUUAGUGAUGUUCCAACUACUCUUGCAUGGGAUAAUGCGUUUGGCCAAGGCUAUAUUUAAGCGAAAUAUUUAACUUGUUUCUUGAUUGUGUGAGUUGUAUGUAUAUUUAUAUAUUCUCCGUCCUGUUUGAUACAGGUGGGUUUUUUACCUCACAAAUUUUUAUUGAAUUAAGAUGUUAAUAAGUAGAAUUAUACGUUAAAACGGUAUUUUGAAACAAUAGCCAAUAAAUUGAAGUGAUUUAGCAUAUGAGCAAGCAAAAUGUACAAUGUGUUUUAACAAUA